AUCUAUUUUACUUGAGAACAAGCAAAAGCUAAGUUGGGAGGUGUGAUAAACAUGAGAAUUAAUAUAUUAGAAACCCUAAAUACAUCAUGAAUUAAGUUAAUUAGUUGAGAAUUAAUGCUAUUUAAUUCAUUUUGCAGGUAAUUUGAAGAUUGGGUUCAAUUAGGCUCAAUUUGAUCUAAUUUAGCUUGAACACAAGUUCU
This 200-nucleotide long non-coding RNA is filed under the name Elaeis guineensis (African oil palm). Its description in RNAcentral is "long non-coding RNA (EGUI_LNC024064)". Lineage: Eukaryota; Viridiplantae; Streptophyta; Magnoliopsida; Arecales; Arecaceae. The record is from RNAcentral.